RNAcentral lists this ribosomal RNA (254 nucleotides) under uncultured bacterium. RNAcentral describes it as "partial 16S ribosomal RNA". It matches the Rfam family "Bacterial small subunit ribosomal RNA", at positions 524 to 776 of the family's 1533-position model. The record is from RNAcentral.
UACGUAGGCAGCGAGCGUUGUUCGGAGUUACUGGGCGUAAAGGGUGUGUAGGCGGCUGUUUAAGUUUGGUGUGAAAUCUCCCGGCUCAACUGGGAGGGUGCGCCGAAUACUGAAUGACUUGGAGUGCGGGAGAGGAGAGUGGAAUUCCUGGUGUAGCGGUGAAAUGCGUAGAUAUCAGGAGGAACACCGGUGGUGUAGACGGCUCUCUGGACCGUAACUGACGCUGAGACACGAAAGCGUGGGUAGCAAACAGG